Molecule: long non-coding RNA, 115 nt
Organism: Amphimedon queenslandica
Lineage: Eukaryota; Metazoa; Porifera; Demospongiae; Haplosclerida; Niphatidae
Exons: 3
Source: RefSeq, a predicted model, not a curated record
GCUAAUCCUGCCUAUGGAGUUACUGAAAACUCUGGUAUCUCUGCUAAUCCUGCCUAUGGUAUUCACAACAGAGAAGGAAUAGAAAGUAUUGAUGAAGAAGCAUUAGUAUAUGAUG